RNAcentral lists this unclassified non-coding RNA (431 nucleotides) under soil metagenome. RNAcentral describes it as "partial contains 5.8S ribosomal RNA, internal transcribed spacer 2, and large subunit ribosomal RNA". The stretch from base 1 to 120 matches the Rfam family "5.8S ribosomal RNA", at positions 35 to 154 of the family's 154-position model. The record is from RNAcentral.
GAUGAAGAACGUAGCGAAAUGCGAUACGUAAUGUGAAUUGCAGAAUUCAGUGAAUCAUCGAAUCUUUGAACGCACAUUGCACUCUCUGGUAUUCCGGAGAGUAUGCUUGUUUGAGUAUCUGUAAACAUCUCAAAUCUCUCUUCAAUUGCUUCAAUUGGGUCGAGAGAAUUGGAUUUGAGCGAUCCCGACUCCUUCGUCAGAAAGAGGAGGGUCGCUUGAAAUGCAGGUGCAGCUGGACAUUCUUCUGAGCAAAAAGCAUAUCUAUUUAGUCCCGUCAAACGGAUUAUUACUUUUGCUUCAGCUAAUAUAAAGGUUGAAUGAACUACCAACGCUGAUUGCAGGAAAACAUGUUCGUUUAUUCGGACUUGUAAACUCGACCUCAAAUCAAGUAAGACUACCCGCUGAACUUAAGCAUAUCAAUAAGCGGAGGA